CCUACGGGGGGCAGCAGUAAGGAAUAUUGGACAAUGGAGGAAACUCUGAUCCAGCCAUGCCGCGUGAGUGAUGAAGGCCUUCGGGUUGUAAAGCUCUUUUAGGUGUGACGAUGAUGACGGUAACACCAGAAAAAGCCCCGGCUAACUUCGUGCCAGCAGCCGCGGUAAUACGAAGGGGGCGAGCGUUGUUCGGAAUCACUGGGCUUAAAGCGUGCGUAGGCGGGCAGGGAAGUCAGAAGUGAAAGCCCCGGGCUUAACCCGGGAACUGCUUUUGAAACUCCCUGUCUAGAAACCGGAAGAGGUUAGCGGAAUAUCCAGUGUAGAGGUGAAAUUCGCAGAUAUUGGAUGGAACACCAGUGGCGAAGGCGGCUAACUGGUCCGGUAUUGACGCUGAGGCACGAAAGCAUGGGGAGCAAACAGGAUUAGAUACCCUUGUAGUC
This 440-nucleotide ribosomal RNA is filed under the name uncultured bacterium. RNAcentral's name for it is "bacterial SSU rRNA". It matches the Rfam family "Bacterial small subunit ribosomal RNA", at positions 338 to 795 of the family's 1533-position model. The record is from RNAcentral.